Molecule: transfer RNA, 85 nt
Filed under: Peptococcus niger
Lineage: Bacteria; Bacillati; Bacillota; Clostridia; Eubacteriales; Peptococcaceae
Description: tRNA_Tyr_GTA
Rfam family: tRNA
About the family: Transfer RNA (tRNA) molecules are approximately 80 nucleotides in length.
Source: RNAcentral
GGAGGGGUUCCCGAGUGGCCAAAGGGGACGGACUGUAAAUCCGUUAGCUCAGCUUUCGAAGGUUCGAAUCCUUCUCCCUCCAUCA